AACGAACGCUGGCGGCAUGCCUAACACAUGCAAGUCGAACGAGAACUUCGGGUCUAGUGGCGCACGGGUGCGUAACGCGUGGGAACCUGCCCUUGGGUUCGGAAUAACUCCCCGAAAGGGGUGCUAAUACCGGUUAAUGUCUUCGGACCAAAGAUUUAUCGCCUUUGGGUGGGCCCGGGUUGGAUUCGCUGGUUGGUAGGGUAAAAGCCUACCAAGGCGACGAUCCAUAGCUGGUCGGGGAGGAGGCUCCGCCCCACUGGGACUGAGACACGGCCCAGACUCCUACGGGAGGCAGCAGUGGGGAAUAUUGGACAAUGGGCGAAAGCCUGAUCCAGCAAUGCCGCGUGAGAGAUGAAGGCCUUAGGGUUGUAAAGCUCUUUUACACGGGACGAUAAUGACAGUACCGGGAGAAUAAGCUCCGGCUAACUCCGUG
RNAcentral lists this ribosomal RNA (433 nucleotides) under uncultured bacterium. RNAcentral's name for it is "partial 16S ribosomal RNA". It matches the Rfam family "Bacterial small subunit ribosomal RNA", at positions 29 to 507 of the family's 1533-position model. The record is from RNAcentral.